GGGCAGGUGAGUCUAGUGGUUAGGGUGUUCUGAUUCCCAGUCGAACGGUUCUAGGUUCGACACCCAAUGUCUGCAGUCCA
Molecule: non-coding RNA, 80 nt
Organism: Merluccius polli (Benguela hake)
Lineage: Eukaryota; Metazoa; Chordata; Actinopteri; Gadiformes; Merlucciidae
Source: the annotation of a GenBank genome assembly